This is a long non-coding RNA of Papaver somniferum (opium poppy), 2472 nucleotides long. RefSeq lists it as uncharacterized. The record is from RefSeq and is a predicted model, not a curated record. Lineage: Eukaryota; Viridiplantae; Streptophyta; Magnoliopsida; Ranunculales; Papaveraceae. The transcript has 3 exons.
UUAGGGUUUAACAGAAUGUUUCUGAGAGUGAGUUUCAGUAAGACGAUUUUGAGAAUGGACAUUCGCUGGAGUUGAUAAAGCUGUUUCUGUAUCGACUGAAAAGUGUACUUGCUAUAGAAAUCAAAGGAUAACUGAAUAAUCGCAAGAUAUGCAAGGAAUGCAUAGGAGAAAAAGAGAAAGCAGAGAGCCAGAAAGUUAAAAUGCAGAAAUUAAGUUAUUGCAAUGAAGACAGAAAUUCUGAUACGUGCAAAGGAAGCUCCACAAUCUGUUCCUGAUGCUUCUCGUGCAGUUUCUGAGCCAGAUAGGCGCUCCUGGAAGACUUUACAUGGCAACUCAGUAAAAUUAAAAGUGUCUGGUUCCAUGUCAAUCUGUUAGUUGAAAAUGAUGGCUUGUGAAUCAUUUGGGGUAAGAUUCUUAUUGACGGAUUCCUUCGCAUGAAAAGAAUGAUGCUGCUUUUGAAAUGUGCCCUUAGCUUCUCACCUGAUAGGUGGACAGCGGUUUAGCUUCUCCCAAGCCAAAGAUCUGUGUCCCACCAUGUCCAUAUGCUGGUAUUAUGUGGUCAGUCUGGCUUGAAAGGAAUGAAAGGUCUUUCAGUGAAACUGAUCAAAAUAAAAAUAAAAAAGGAAGGUCUUGCAGUGAAAAAGAAAAGCCUCCAGAAGCAACUUCAAGGACCCACAAGAUCACUUAUUUGCUGUCGAUUUCAGUUGUAAUGUGCAACUCACGGCAGAUGAGAAUAAAGCAAUCAGUGAUAUUCCUACUCAAGAGGAGAUUUGGCAAGUGCUCAAGAAGAUGGGGUCUCUCAAAUCACCAGGACCAGAUGGCAUGCCUCCAAUCUUCUUCAAGAAAUGCUGGGAUAAAGUUGGAAAUGAGGUAACAUCUCUAAUCAAACACUGCUUUGCUUCUUCUAGUAUUCCAGAAGGCUUGAAUCACACUAAUCUAGUCUUGAUUCCUAAAGUUAAAAACCCCUCUAAACCAGUGGAAUAUAGACCCAUAGCUUUAUGCAAAAUUCUUUACAAAAUUGUGGUCUAAAUAAUUGCACAGAGACUGAAACCCAUGCUUGACAAUUUGGUAGGCAAAUCUCAGUAUGCUUUUGUGCCAGGUAGAUUAAUUCUGGAUAACAUAUUAACUGCCAAAGAAUUAAUCCACUCCACGAACCAGUCUAACUCUAUUCUUGGAGCUUAUGCGCUUAAAAUUGAUAUAAGUAAAGCGUAUGAUAGAGUUUCCUGGAGUUUCUUAGGUCAAUGUCUCAGAGCAUAUGGUAUAAAUGGUGAUACUCAUCAUGAACUGUGUAACUACAGCUUCUUUCUCUGUUAUAUAGUUAAUGGAACCCCUGAAGGGCAUUUUGUAAGUGGGAGAGGGCUGAGACAGGGAUGCCCUCUCUCAGCUUAUCUAUUUAUUUUAUGUGCUCAGGGUUUAUCAUGGAUGAUUCGCAAAAUGGAAGCGAGUAGUCUCCACAACGGGUACAGAGUAAAUAAAUGGGCUCCAUCAAUAUCUCACCUCAUGUUCGCAGAAGACCUAUUGUUCUUCGGCUCACUUGAUGACAGAACUCUUCAAAGCCUUCAAGACGUCCUCUUUGUUUAUGCCAAAUGGUCCUGAAAACAAGCAAAUCUGGAGAAGUCAGCUAUUAUGUUCAGCAAAGGAGUCGGUGCAGUGAGACGAAGGCCAGUGGCAGAAAGUCUGGGAGUUAAACAAAUGGAAGUCAAUGAUAAAUAUCUGGGGUUUCAUCUUCUGAAGUCAGCCUUCAGAAUCGACUCUUAUAACUUUUUAUUCGAGAAGAUUGAAAACAAGCCUACCGGCUGGAAGAGGAUAUAUCUCACACAUGCUGGGAAGACCAUCCUUAUCAAACAUGUGUUGGGGCUGAUACCUCCAGACUACAUGGCCACGUCACUCCUCUCUAAAGCUGUAAUUGCAAAGUUGGAACGAAUCAUUCACAACUUCUGGUGGGGUCACAACUAUACCACCAGAAAAACUCACUUCAUAAAUUGGAAUAGAUUCUUAGAUGAGAAAGUGAAUGGUGGUCUAGGCAUAAGAUCUCUGACUCACCUAAACAGAGCUCAGAUAGCUAAAUUGGGUUGGAAAAUUCUUGAAGAUGAGAACUGCAUGUGGGGCGCAAUCAUGAAAGCUAAGUACUUCAGAGAUGAGUCUUUUGAUGUGCAUCAAAGCCUUAAUCACGGAUUCAUACUUAUCAGAAAGAGAGUGUACCGGAUAUAAAGCCGUCCUAGAUUGUUUCAUCAUAGUUUUUUAAUACAACAAGUAGUUUAUUAAAAUCUAGGUGCUCUGUCAUAGGUGUACUUUUCUUAAUGUUGCAUCGAUACGAAUUUCUCUUAAGAUAUAUCCAUUGGCUUCGUUCCUCACUAAGUAUUCCUACUUUAGGUUUUCCCAAAGCUGCCGGAAGUGCCUUGGUGAUAAUGAACUCUUAUUGUUGUUUCUAAACACUCUCGAGUUGAACCAAGAGAUAACUUAUUGAUCUUG